AGAAAGUCACGGCUAACUACGUGCCAGCAGCCGCGGUAAUACGUAGGUGGCAAGCGUUAUCCGGAUUUAUUGGGCGUAAAGAGAGUGCAGGCGGUUUCUAAGUCUGAUGUGAAAGCCUUCGGCUUAACCGGAGAAGUGCAUCGGAAACUGGAUAACUUGAGUGCAGAAGAGGGUAGUGGAACUCCAUGUGUAGCGGUGGAAUGCGUAGAUAUAUGGAAGAACACCAGUGGCGAAGGCGGCUACCUGGUCUGCAACUGACGCUGAGACUCGAAAGCAUGGGUAGCGAACAGGAUUAGAUACCCUGGUAG
RNAcentral lists this ribosomal RNA (308 nucleotides) under uncultured bacterium. Its description in RNAcentral is "bacterial SSU rRNA". It matches the Rfam family "Bacterial small subunit ribosomal RNA", at positions 485 to 793 of the family's 1533-position model. The record is from RNAcentral.